RNAcentral lists this ribosomal RNA (415 nucleotides) under Streptomyces anulatus. Its description in RNAcentral is "bacterial SSU rRNA". It matches the Rfam family "Bacterial small subunit ribosomal RNA", at positions 23 to 442 of the family's 1533-position model. The record is from RNAcentral. Lineage: Bacteria; Bacillati; Actinomycetota; Actinomycetes; Kitasatosporales; Streptomycetaceae.
CUCAGGACGAACGCUGGCGGCGUGCUUAACACAUGCAAGUCGAACGAUGAAGCCCUUCGGGGUGGAUUAGUGGCGAACGGGUGAGUAACACGUGGGCAAUCUGCCCUUCACUCUGGGACAAGCCCUGGAAACGGGGUCUAAUACCGGAUAACACUCUGUCCCGCAUGGGACGGGGUUAAAAGCUCCGGCGGUGAAGGAUGAGCCCGCGGCCUAUCAGCUUGUUGGUGGGGUAAUGGCCUACCAAGGCGACGACGGGUAGCCGGCCUGAGAGGGCGACCGGCCACACUGGGACUGAGACACGGCCCAGACUCCUACGGGAGGCAGCAGUGGGGAAUAUUGCACAAUGGGCGAAAGCCUGAUGCAGCGACGCCGCGUGAGGGAUGACGGCCUUCGGGUUGUAAACCUCUUUCAGCAG